Molecule: transfer RNA, 72 nt
Filed under: Camelus bactrianus (Bactrian camel)
Lineage: Eukaryota; Metazoa; Chordata; Mammalia; Artiodactyla; Camelidae
Also listed under: 2 other names
Rfam family: tRNA
About the family: Transfer RNA (tRNA) molecules are approximately 80 nucleotides in length. Their secondary structure includes four short double-helical elements and three loops (D, anti-codon, and T loops). Further hydrogen bonds mediate the characteristic L-shaped molecular structure. tRNAs have two regions of fundamental functional importance: the anti-codon, which is responsible for specific mRNA codon recognition, and the 3' end, to which the tRNAs corresponding amino acid is attached (by aminoacyl-tRNA synthetases). tRNAs cope with the degeneracy of the genetic code in two manners: having more than one tRNA (with a specific anti-codon) for a particular amino acid; and 'wobble' base-pairing, i.e. permitting non-standard base-pairing at the 3rd anti-codon position.
Source: Rfam by way of RNAcentral
GAGGGUGUAGCUCAGUGGCAGAGCACUUGCUUAGCAUGCACAAGGUCCUGGGUUCAAUCCCCAGUGCCUCCA